This 776-nucleotide ribosomal RNA is filed under the name Pichia kudriavzevii. RNAcentral describes it as "partial large subunit ribosomal RNA". It matches the Rfam family "Eukaryotic large subunit ribosomal RNA", at positions 95 to 885 of the family's 3401-position model. Lineage: Eukaryota; Fungi; Ascomycota; Pichiomycetes; Pichiales; Pichiaceae. The record is from RNAcentral.
UGAGCGGCAAGAGCUCAGAUUUGAAAUCGUGCUUUGCGGCACGAGUUGUAGAUUGCAGGUUGGAGUCUGUGUGGAAGGCGGUGUCCAAGUCCCUUGGAACAGGGCGCCCAGGAGGGUGAGAGCCCCGUGGGAUGCCGGCGGAAGCAGUGAGGCCCUUCUGACGAGUCGAGUUGUUUGGGAAUGCAGCUCCAAGCGGGUGGUAAAUUCCAUCUAAGGCUAAAUACUGGCGAGAGACCGAUAGCGAACAAGUACUGUGAAGGAAAGAUGAAAAGCACUUUGAAAAGAGAGUGAAACAGCACGUGAAAUUGUUGAAAGGGAAGGGUAUUGCGCCCGACAUGGGGAUUGCGCACCGCUGCCUCUCGUGGGCGGCGCUCUGGGCUUUCCCUGGGCCAGCAUCGGUUCUUGCUGCAGGAGAAGGGGUUCUGGAACGUGGCUCUUCGGAGUGUUAUAGCCAGGGCCAGAUGCUGCGUGCGGGGACCGAGGACUGCGGCCGUGUAGGUCACGGAUGCUGGCAGAACGGCGCAACACCGCCCGUCUUGAAACAUGGACCAAGGAGUCUAACGUCUAUGCGAGUGUUUGGGUGUGAAACCCGUACGCGUAAUGAAAGUGAACGUAGGUCGGACCCCCUGCCCUCGGGGAGGGGAGCACGAUCGACCGAUCCCGAUGUUUAUCGGAAGGAUUUGAGUAGGAGCAUAGCUGUUGGGACCCGAAAGAUGGUGAACUAUGCCUGAAUAGGGUGAAGCCAGAGGAAACUCUGGUGGAGGCUCGUAGCGGUU